This is a long non-coding RNA of Manis javanica (Malayan pangolin), 2500 nucleotides long. RefSeq lists it as uncharacterized. The record is from RefSeq and is a predicted model, not a curated record. Lineage: Eukaryota; Metazoa; Chordata; Mammalia; Pholidota; Manidae.
AAGAUGACAAGCCUCCUGACGGAUAGACACACCGAGACCUCGCUGGUGAUUUAUUGGCUUUCUGCACCUGACGAGAACCACUAGUCCCAUCUGAGGAGGAAAAUAUAUGGGCUUUCCUGACUCCAAGUGGCAGUCGCGGGGCGAGCAUGUGAUCUCAAGCUGGGCAGGAAAAGCAGAGCUGUGCACCGGCCUGUGUUUUGUAAGCGGGCCCGGGUCAUAAAAGUGUCAGCACGCGAUAUAUUUCUUGCGGGGGAUCCUCUCUGGGCUCCCGCCAGCUCCUUCUCUCCAGCGGCUGGCAGCCUGAGCCGGGCGAGGGUGCGCCCUGAGGCCGCCCGCGAGCCCUCUGCACUGCCCCCCAGCGCAAGGCUGGGAUGGGGGCGGUCGGCAGCCGCGGGGCACUCUGGGCCCACAGGUCUGGAUUCUCUGGUAAUCACAUGCGGCCCCGGGGGAAUGCAGCGCAGGGCUGGAGUCUGACCUGAGUGGAAUUCUGGACCUAGCUCAUUAGAUGGGGCAUCAUAAGCAAGUUACUUAAUUCCCUGUAUCUGCUCCCAGGUAAAUGGGAAUGAUAAUAAUAUACACUGAAUAUGAUAGGACAAUGACUUAUUUAGGAAGUAAAGUUCCAACCCAGCUCUCACGGAUGACAUUACUAGAAAGCAGCUAGAAAAAGGGGCCAGGGGCCGGUGUGGAUGGGUCACAGGAGGUGAGCAGGGGAAUGCUGAGGAUGAGGCUGUGCGCUAAUGGUAUGGAUUUCACUGUUCUCUGAUGGCCCUGUCAUCCAAUUCACCACAGUAUUAUAUUAGUAUAUGUAGCAGGGCUUCUGUUAGGGCAAAUAUAAAAUUUGCUUUCACUUAUGUCUACAAGUAGAGACUCCGGAUCAUCUAGAGGAUUCAGUUUUUCUCUAGGGGAGAAAAAAAAAAAGUAAUUUGAAGGUCUUUCUUGGUUAUGUAAAUGCAGAGACCUGCCAUGUUCUGAACUUUGGAGAUGAGAGAACCCUUUGGAGAGAAGAAAACCAGGGCAAGGUUGCAAGUCCUUAAAUUCUCUAGCUUGCAAAGCUAAUCCCUGAAGAGGAGGUGUAUCAAUAUGUAAAGGGAGCACAAGAACCUUCUGGGAGAGAAAAUGCCAAGGCUCCCAACUCCUGCUUCCCAAGAUUUGAAAACAAGAAGACCUGAGACGGUGGUGCUCCCAACCAAGGUCUAGGGACCAAGAGGGACAGCUGGGCCACAGAAAUAAACUUAAGGAAAAGAGAAGCCCAGGUUCAUAAUCCCAACUCAAUACAAUAGCCAAAAGAAAUGCAGAGGAGGUCCAAUGUUGACACAACGUGGUGUUUUUCUAGAACCACCUGCUUGGCAUAGUGCUUGCAUCUAGGGGGAAAAGUGGCUGAACAUGACAAUGUGAACUUAAAAUCUCUAUGAACAGGAUAGGCACAUUCGACACCACCAACUAAUGACAUUCCACCAGGCUAACCCAUGUUAGCUUCUAAGCUGGGAGAUUCCACAUUCUAAAGCAUAAGCAAGGGCAACAAGACGAAAAGCAGUAGCCAAGUGAUCAGACUCUAUGUCUUACAUCUUCAGUGUAAGUUCUCAACAUUCUCAGACAACUCAGGGUGAGAAUGGGGGCUAAGAAGAGGACACAGGAUUUACUGUUCACAAGAUAAAACAUUUUAUGGGUAAAUGUUCCACUGGAUGAUUUCAUAUAAAUAAAGAGAAAAAAAUGAAGCCAGUAAAGCUACAACAAUAAAAGUCAUACUAUGAAGUAGGUGUGCAAGAUCAGUCCAUAGCCUUGCCCGCAUCAUCAAGCUAGGAGAUCCCAAGGUCAGUUUGGAAAUUUUCCCAGAAGCCUUACAUGAUGCCUCCUCUUUGACUUCCAUGAGUUGUGUGAACAUGGAGACCCUCCCCAUCUUUGUACAGCCCAGCCCUCCAGACCAUGGUGUGUACAGUCCAAGAAGACAGUGAUCCAAGAGAAGGUGGCCAAGGUACACUGAGUUCUGGCAUAUUCUUGGAGACUCGGCAACUCUAAUUUAGCAUCCCAACAAGAAUGCAAAGAAAAGAUCUAGGGUCUGGAGAGGAGUCAAGGGAAAGGCUUGAUGUGUGAUUUGAGGACACAGGCAUCUGGGAGGGCAGCCGAGAGAAUCUUCAUGAACCCAGCCAUGAGAAGCAUCCUAGGACCACACUGUGAGCCCAGCUUUCCAAGGCACCAAGCUUCCCUAGAGAAGCAAAGCUGUAGGGUAGAAUGUCUGAGAUGCGGAGGUGUGGGUUGGCCAGACUGAGGGUGAUAUGACCCUGUGCAAGAAACUGAAUGCCUCUGACCUUCGUCCUUCACCUGUUCCCAGUCCAAAAGUCCCGGCCAUCCCACAAAAAUAUCUAUGUUUUUAUCCAAGUGAUAAGAAAACAGUAUUUACAUAAUGCCUAAAUUUUUCCCAAAGACAUUUUUAGAUUAUCACAAUAUCCAAAAUGUUCAUUUUGUUUGUACUUGCCUUAUGGACCUCUGUGGUAAAAUUCAA